AACUAGAGCUAUUAAUCGAGUCAUAUCAGCCAUGUUGUUAGCAUCAGGGAGUGCAAACUUGAACAACAGCAUCUUCUUAUGUGUUCCAGGGUGUUGAUCAGAAAAAUGCAUCGAGAUGAAACCCUUGCCAAAUUUCUCAAAAGCCUUUUCACCAAAAACCUGCUCAAGCACAGUCUCAGUGAUCAAAUCCCCAGCAACCUCCUUGGACUCUGAAAUA
This 217-nucleotide unclassified non-coding RNA is filed under the name Hevea brasiliensis (rubber tree). The record is from RNAcentral. Lineage: Eukaryota; Viridiplantae; Streptophyta; Magnoliopsida; Malpighiales; Euphorbiaceae.